CUCCGUAUAACCUCAAACGGUUUUCUCUUCGCUAUUGUCCAACGCUGGAAUUAACAUACAUACACUGGCAAAGUGAAAACAGGUUAAGCUUUUUGCUCGACUCGAAGAGGUCAGUAGUUACGGACAUGGCCCAAAUACGUUGCCCACGAUUGACUAAUGCCAAGCACUUCAUGUGUAACAAGGUGUCGCAAAUAAGCGAGUUUAUCAGGCCUGAUAAGGUUUUCUGCGCUGCUUAUCAGAGACAUUCUGGUGACGACGACUACUCCCUUCAGUCACAAAAAUGGCAACGGAUCAGGUCGUAUAGUAAACACGCGAACAGCAUGACAACAUACAACAUCGAAAUACAGUAAAACCUCUAAAAAUAAAUGCGGUUACUAAGUUAA
This is a long non-coding RNA of Drosophila ficusphila, 383 nucleotides long. RefSeq lists it as uncharacterized. The transcript has 2 exons. The record is from RefSeq and is a predicted model, not a curated record. NCBI's taxonomy places the organism in Eukaryota, Metazoa, Arthropoda, Insecta, Diptera, Drosophilidae.